This 557-nucleotide ribosomal RNA is filed under the name uncultured Methylobacterium sp. RNAcentral describes it as "bacterial SSU rRNA". It matches the Rfam family "Bacterial small subunit ribosomal RNA", at positions 102 to 694 of the family's 1533-position model. Lineage: Bacteria; Pseudomonadati; Pseudomonadota; Alphaproteobacteria; Hyphomicrobiales; Methylobacteriaceae. The record is from RNAcentral.
ACGGGUGAGUAACGCGUGGGAACGUGCCUUCCGGUUCGGAAUAACCCUGGGAAACUAGGGCUAAUACCGGAUACGCCCUUAUGGGGAAAGGUUUACUGCCGGAAGAUCGGCCCGCGUCUGAUUAGCUAGUUGGUGGGGUAACGGCCUACCAAGGCGACGAUCAGUAGCUGGUCUGAGAGGAUGAUCAGCCACACUGGGACUGAGACACGGCCCAGACUCCUACGGGAGGCAGCAGUGGGGAAUAUUGGACAAUGGGCGCAAGCCUGAUCCAGCCAUGCCGCGUGAGUGAUGAAGGCCUUAGGGUUGUAAAGCUCUUUUAUCCGGGACGAUAAUGACGGUACCGGAGGAAUAAGCCCCGGCUAACUUCGUGCCAGCAGCCGCGGUAAUACGAAGGGGGCUAGCGUUGCUCGGAAUCACUGGGCGUAAAGGGCGCGUAGGCGGCGUUUUAAGUCGGGGGUGAAAGCCUGUGGCUCAACCACAGAAUGGCCUUCGAUACUGAGACGCUUGAGUAUGGUAGAGGUUGGUGGAACUGCGAGUGUAGAGGUGAAAUUCGUAGA